UAUGGUAGUGUGCCAGCCGCCACGGUAAUACGUAGGGGGCAAGCGUUAUCCGGAUUUACUGGGUGUAAAGGGAGCGUAGACGGAGCAGCAAGUCUGAUGUGAAAACCCGGGGCUCAACCCCGGGACUGCAUUGGAAACUGUUGAUCUGGAGUGCCGGAGAGGUAAGCGGAAUUCCUAGUGUAGCGGUGAAAUGCGUAGAUAUUAGGAGGAACACCAGUGGCGAAGGCGGCUUACUGGACGGUAACUGACGUUGAGGCUCGAAAGCGUGGGGAGCAAACAGG
RNAcentral lists this ribosomal RNA (281 nucleotides) under [Ruminococcus] lactaris ATCC 29176. Its description in RNAcentral is "partial 16S ribosomal RNA". It matches the Rfam family "Bacterial small subunit ribosomal RNA", at positions 496 to 776 of the family's 1533-position model. Lineage: Bacteria; Bacillati; Bacillota; Clostridia; Lachnospirales; Lachnospiraceae. The record is from RNAcentral.